CGCAGCGUCUCUGCAGCACAGCCAGGGCCUGAGAAGGAGGCCUGGGACCUACAAGGAACAGAGUGUGAACUGCCCUGAUGUCCAAGAGACACUGUUUGUGAUGUUCCCUGCCACAGAGAGGGAAAAACAAUGUUAUGCAAUUAGCGACUGCAUCAUAACACAUACCAGCAAGCAGUUUGCACCUGAGGACAUAAUCAGGCAGUAUGAUUACAUCCAUGAAAACAGGAUCCCAAGCAAGCUUGGUUGGAAAUGCUGCAAGAGAACAUUGAAUCAGUGCUUCUAUAUCCUGAGAAAUUUCCCCAAAUCUGGGAAUUUUUGAGUAAAAUGUUUCAACUUGGGAAAUUGGGAAUUUUCAUUCAAAACCUAAAUCAUCCUGGGAAAAUUUCAUAAAAAGUAAAAGACUUUCCAAAUCUCAAAAAUCCUGGGAAGUUUUCAUAAAAAGUAAAAUAUUUGUGCGUCUUUUAAAUUUCCCUCCAAAUGCGUUCUUCGAUUGGUGAAUAUCUGUCACGAUUUUCAUAAUCAGGCUGUGCUGCUCUCCUAUUGGUGGUGCUUCAACGUACUAUAUCAUGAUGGCACAAGUGAAGUGACCAGUGUGCACAUGCACUCACAACAAACCAACCUCAGCAACAGCUGGCUGGCGGGUAAUGAGGAGAUGGUUACCAAAUUUAUCUUCUAGAGAUCUAAUGUAAAAAAUGAAUCAAGAGACUGGUAAGGCUGGUGAGAAGAGGAAGAGGACUGCAGGAGUAGACAAAGAUCCAUCCACGUUGAAACGAAAACAAUGGGAUAGCACUCCCGACAGAGUAUUGAAGACUUGGAUGAACUUCCACCAAAAGAGAAGCCAUCUACUUUCAAAAAAGCCUUUCAAUACUUGUGGCUUCAAGAAGAUUAUGAACAAACAGGAAAAUGAAGGUGAAGACGACUGAGUUAGCUGCAGAAGCCAAUAUUUUCAAGUUUCUCAUGUUGACCUGGCUGACAGUCGAAUUUUUUUUUUAAUAUUUCAUUUAACUAUUUUAGUUAAACAAUUUUAACAAAAACAAACCAGAUUUAAAAAAAGUUGAACGUUUAAAAGAAUUCAAAAAUUCAUAUGCUUGUUUUGUUAAAAAAUUGUAUGUUUGCUGUUGAAGAAAAAUAUCCAGAAUACAUAACAUUGUUGUUUUAGUUAAAACAAAACAAUUUAAAAUGUCUGUCUGGUGAUGUUCUCCUCCUAAUACAGCAUGGCAAGAAAAUCCUCCGAAUAUCGAUUAACCUGUUGAAUUGGAGAUAUUUAUGAAGUCAUUGGGAGAUGAACUAUCUGCUUCAACUACCUUUGGUAAAUGAAAUAACCAAUCAUUCAUUUUCUGAUAUAGCUGUAAAACUAAUCA
Malaclemys terrapin pileata is the source of this 1361-nucleotide long non-coding RNA. RefSeq lists it as uncharacterized. The record is from RefSeq and is a predicted model, not a curated record. Lineage: Eukaryota; Metazoa; Chordata; Testudines; Emydidae. The transcript is spliced from 4 exons.